GGAGGUGGCAAGCGUUGCUCGGAAUCACUGGGCGUAAAGGGCGCGUAGGCGGGGAGGUAAGUCGGGUGUGAAAUCCCUCGGCCCAACCGAGGAACUGCGCCCGAGACUGCUUCUCUUGAGUCCCGGAGAGGAAGAUGGAAUUCCCGGUGUAGCGGUGAAAUGUGUAGAGAUCGGGAGGAACACCGGUGGCGAAGGCGGUCUUCUGGACGGUGACUGACGCUGAGGCGCGAAAGCGUGGGGAGCAAACGGGAUUAGAUACCCCGGUAGUCCACGCUGUAAACGAUGGGUGCUAGGUGUGGGGGGUAUCGACCCCUCCCGUGCCGAAGCUAACGCAUUAAGCACCCCGCCUGGGGAGUACGGCCGCAAGGUUG
RNAcentral lists this ribosomal RNA (371 nucleotides) under uncultured bacterium. Its description in RNAcentral is "bacterial SSU rRNA". It matches the Rfam family "Bacterial small subunit ribosomal RNA", at positions 527 to 896 of the family's 1533-position model. The record is from RNAcentral.